GGAAUAUUGGGCAAUGGGCGCAAGCCUGAUCCAGCCAUGCCGCGUGAGUGAUGAAGGCCUUAGGGUUGUAAAGCUCUUUUACCAGGGAAGAUAAUGACGGUACCUGGAGAAUAAGCCCCGGCUAACUUCGUGCCAGCAGCCGCGGUAAUACGAAGGGGGCUAGCGUUGCUCGGGAUCACUGGGCGUAAAGCGCACGUAGGUGGAUUGCCAAGUCGGGGGUGAAAUCCUGGAGCUCAACUCCAGAACUGCCUUCGAUACUGGCGAUCUUUGAGUCCGGGAGAGGUGGGUGGAACUGCGAGUGUAGAGGUGAAAUUCGUAGAUAUUCGCAAGAACACCAGUGGCGAAGGCGGCUCACUGGCCCGGUACUGACACUGAGGCGCGAAAGCGUGGGGAGCAAA
RNAcentral lists this ribosomal RNA (398 nucleotides) under uncultured bacterium. Its description in RNAcentral is "bacterial SSU rRNA". It matches the Rfam family "Bacterial small subunit ribosomal RNA", at positions 358 to 772 of the family's 1533-position model. The record is from RNAcentral.